This 513-nucleotide ribosomal RNA is filed under the name Staphylococcus epidermidis. RNAcentral's name for it is "bacterial LSU rRNA". It matches the Rfam family "Bacterial large subunit ribosomal RNA", at positions 291 to 782 of the family's 2925-position model. Lineage: Bacteria; Bacillati; Bacillota; Bacilli; Caryophanales; Staphylococcaceae. The record is from RNAcentral.
UGUGGUGUUGUGGGGUGCAGUGUUUCUGGGCUGCUGACCAGGAGCGUGCGCGUGCGUGUUAGCGGAAGCAUCUGGGAUGGUGCGCCGGAGUGGGUGAGAGUCCUGUGCGUGAAGGCGUGUGCGUGUGUGUUGUUGUUGCCCCGAGUAGCAGCGGGCUCGUGGAAUCUGCUGUGAAUCUGCCGGGACCACCCGGUAAGCCUAAAUACUCAGUGUGACCGAUAGUGGAUAGUACCGUGAGGGAAUGGUGAAAAGUACCCCGGGAGGGGAGUGAAAGAGUUCCUGAAACCGUGCGCUUACAAUCCGUCAGAGCACUUCUUUUAGUGUGAUGGCGUGCCUUUUGAAGAAUGAGCCUGCGAGUCAGCGGCAUGUCGCGAGGUUAACCCGUUAGGGGUAGUCGUAGCGAAAGCGAAUCCUCAUUGGGUGUUUUAAGUGGCAUGUCCUGGACCCGAAGCGGGGUGAUCUACCCAUGGCCAGUGUGAAGCAGCUGUAAGAGGUUGUGGAGGCGCGAACCCA